Molecule: long non-coding RNA, 324 nt
Organism: Symphalangus syndactylus (siamang)
Lineage: Eukaryota; Metazoa; Chordata; Mammalia; Primates; Hylobatidae
Source: RefSeq, a predicted model, not a curated record
AGGUGACUGCCACCUGCCUUACAGACUUUGAUGCUGGUUUUUUUGUUUUUGUUUUUGUUUUUUAAGCUUAGGCAAUGGCAGCUACAUAAUUGCUGAUGUCUAGCCAAUAGUGACUAUAAAACACUGAAGGCACUUGACUUUGGCAGAUAUUGAGAGAAUAGCCCCACUGGCUGAGGGGGCCUUACCUUACAACCUGGCAGAACUUCAAAGAAAGGUGAGAAUUCUACCACUGAACUAUCCGUGCCUCCUUAUGGCCAUGUGACAAAGAGGAUGACCGAAGUGACACCAGUAAUGUCAAACAAGGGAGGGGAGACAACGAUGGGG